Molecule: unclassified non-coding RNA, 201 nt
Filed under: Hevea brasiliensis (rubber tree)
Lineage: Eukaryota; Viridiplantae; Streptophyta; Magnoliopsida; Malpighiales; Euphorbiaceae
Source: RNAcentral
CAGCGACUUGACAAAAGAAAAUAUAACUCCAUUUAUUCUGGAGGUACUGGUCCUCUGAGUCACAAAAGCACUGCUUGAAACCUUGCUUGCUUUAAGUGCCAUGGCAAACAUCAAUACAAGAAUAAAAUGAUACCAGCCAGCAUUGCCCUUAUAACAGCUCAAAGCUUAAGUAAGAACAAGCACAUUAUUUAGGGGGUCAAA